CCUACGGGAGGCAGCAGUGGGGAAUAUUGGACAAUGGGCGAAAGCCUGAUCCAGCCAUGCCGCGUGUGUGAAGAAGGCCUUCGGGUUGUAAAGCACUUUCAGUGGGGAAGAAAGCCUUGGGGCUAAUACCCUCGAGGAAGGACAUCACCCACAGAAGAAGCACCGGCUAACUCCGUGCCAGCAGCCGCGGUAAUACGGAGGGUGCGAGCGUUAAUCGGAAUUACUGGGCGUAAAGCGCGCGUAGGCGGUCUGAUAAGCCGGUUGUGAAAGCCCCGGGAUCAACCUGGGAACGGCAUCCGGAACUGUCAGGCUAGAGUGCAGGAGAGGAAGGUAGAAUUCCCGGUGUAGCGGUGAAAUGCGUAGAGAUCGGGAGGAAUACCAGUGGCGAAGGCGGCCUUCUGGACUGACACUGACGCUGAGGUGCGAAAGCGUGGGUAGCAAACAGGAUUAGAUCCCCCAGUAGUC
This 465-nucleotide ribosomal RNA is filed under the name Vreelandella stevensii. RNAcentral's name for it is "partial 16S ribosomal RNA". It matches the Rfam family "Bacterial small subunit ribosomal RNA", at positions 338 to 795 of the family's 1533-position model. Lineage: Bacteria; Pseudomonadati; Pseudomonadota; Gammaproteobacteria; Oceanospirillales; Halomonadaceae. The record is from RNAcentral.